GCGGGCGUAGCAUAAUGGUAGUGUGCGGGCCUUCCAAGCCUUGAAGUGUCAGUUCGAAUCUGACCGUCCGUCCCA
This 75-nucleotide transfer RNA is filed under the name bacterium. Its description in RNAcentral is "tRNA-Gly". It matches the Rfam family "tRNA". Rfam says of the family: Transfer RNA (tRNA) molecules are approximately 80 nucleotides in length. Their secondary structure includes four short double-helical elements and three loops (D, anti-codon, and T loops). The record is from RNAcentral.